AAGAGGUUAGUCCAAAAUUAAGACUUCUGAUUUCGGCUCAGACAAUUAUGGUUAAACUCCAUAACCUCUAU
This 71-nucleotide transfer RNA is filed under the name Dussumieria elopsoides (slender rainbow sardine). Its description in RNAcentral is "tRNA-Arg". It matches the Rfam family "tRNA". From Rfam's summary of the family: Transfer RNA (tRNA) molecules are approximately 80 nucleotides in length. Their secondary structure includes four short double-helical elements and three loops (D, anti-codon, and T loops). Further hydrogen bonds mediate the characteristic L-shaped molecular structure. tRNAs have two regions of fundamental functional importance: the anti-codon, which is responsible for specific mRNA codon recognition, and the 3' end, to which the tRNAs corresponding amino acid is attached (by aminoacyl-tRNA synthetases). tRNAs cope with the degeneracy of the genetic code in two manners: having more than one tRNA (with a specific anti-codon) for a particular amino acid; and 'wobble' base-pairing, i.e. permitting non-standard base-pairing at the 3rd anti-codon position. Lineage: Eukaryota; Metazoa; Chordata; Actinopteri; Clupeiformes; Dussumieriidae. The record is from RNAcentral.